Molecule: long non-coding RNA, 2842 nt
Filed under: Cottoperca gobio
Lineage: Eukaryota; Metazoa; Chordata; Actinopteri; Perciformes; Bovichtidae
Description: lncRNA (ENSCGOG00000015871.1)
Source: RNAcentral
AAUCUGAAAACGUAUUGAACAUUUCGCUGCCUGAGGUCAUCAGUCCUUCAUAAAGUCCUGGGACUCCGUGCCGGUGAGGUUCAGCUGAAUAAUUAAGUUAAAUUAAAGUUAAUUAAGUGUUUAGUAAAAACAAAAUGUGCUGAGUGAGUUCAGACGCUGCGGCUUACUUUCUGGACAAUUUAAAAUGACCUGCAGUGUUUGUCCACAUGGUGGCAGCAGAGAGGAGAAAGAAUCCUCAUGAUGUGUGAUGAUAAUGUGCGUUCAGGUGCAGUGUGUGCCGCUCACCGUAAAAGAUCCGGAGAGUCUCCAGACCGAGGAAGAGCAGCAGCAGCACCACAUCCAGAACCAGAUUAUCUGACGGGUAGGGCAGUAACAUCCCUGCACGCAAGACACAAGUUUAUGUUAAACUGUUCCAGAAACUGACGGAGACUGUGAUGAGAGGAAGAGGAAAUGUUUUGGGUGACGGGUGAAUGAGAUGAAGAAGCAGCCGAGUGUGCAGGACUUAAAUGCACAAUGGGAAAGAAAAUAAGAUAUUUCGUCUAAUUCAACUAAUAAUCUGAACACUAUUAAUCACAUAUAGAAUCUGAAGACGGAUUCAGCAGACCAGGGGUGUCCAAACCCCUGGUCUGCUGUAGGGGUGACCCUACAGCAGUAGGGGUCCUACUGCUGUUAAGUUGCAUAAAGUUGCAUGUGAAUAAAAAAGAAGCAAUACAUCUCUGGGGAAACACUGGAUGUUUGCAAAUGUUAGAAUUAAUGUUUUGAUAUGUUGUGAUUUGUCUUGAAGCAGAGAGACAGUUAUGAUAUGAUAUAUGUAUAUAUAAGAUGAAUCGAAGCCUCACCACAUGUCACAUGACCACCAUGAACGCAUACUUAAAGGUGGUCACUUGGAAUUACUUUUAUUGAACAAUAUGUGUGUUUCUUAUUUGGACUUCAUGAGAUCUUUGCAUUCAAUCUUCCCAGACAGAUGUAAUAUGUAAUAUACGUGUUGGCCCAGCAGGUCCCCACACCGACUCCACAAUGAACUCAGCAGAACGUUUUGUUUGCUUUUGACAGACGUGUGAAGGUGUUACAGCUGCUGACACACCUUUAUAGAUGAACAUCAGGAUCUCUGCCAGGUAGAAGGCAGCAAAGUACCAGAUGUUCAGGUAGAAGAGGACCUGCAGAGGAGUGGACGAAAGCUGAGGGAGACUGAGUCAAGGACAACAUACCACACAUACUCACGCACACACACACACGCACGCAGAGUGUGUGGGCAUCAUUUUCAUGUGAAGGAUACGAUUGGUUGGCUCCCUGCAGAGAAGACGAGGAGACAGAACAUGAGUAGCUUUUCUGAUGUUUUGUUUAUCAUAUUUACUAAACAAACGUUCCAUAUUACCAAUUCUCUUAUCUGCAAGUUUCAUUUAUAUGCAAAAGUAACAAACAUGACAAAUUAAUAAAAUGUGCAGGGCGAGUAAAAAUGACAAUCUGACAUGUUGGUGCAGUAGAAGUUCACAUUUGAGUACAAGUAGAGCUGCACAAUUAAUCGAAAUGUUCUGGAAAUAUAGACACAAAACUCAGAAGGGCAUUAUUAUAUAUAUAUAUAUAUAUGUUCUUUAUAUUUAUUCGUUAAGACCAUUCUGAACUGAGUACUGCAGGGAUACAACUCCUAUUCUGCAGACAACAAACAAUAUGUUCUCAUUCUGUUAUUUAUCUCCCCUUAAUAGAAUUAUAUUUUUAUGAAUGUUUAUUUAUUAGUAUAAAUAUUAUUUUGUCUAUUUGGUUUUCCCCUCUGAUGUGAAUAAUGAUUUUAAAAAGUACAUAGCUCUAUUAUACGUUAGCUUCGUUAGCUUCGUUAGUAUUUGUACAGCUGUUUGUAUCGUGUUACAGUUCCAUGUGCCGAACAAGAACAAGAACAAGAACAAGAACAUGAACAUGAACAUGAACAAGAACAAGACAAGAACCGACAAACAAGAACAUGAACAAGAACAGAACAAGAACAGGAACAUGAAUCCGACGUCUAACGGGUUUAACUCACGUUUGACUGUAAAGAUAAAAUAAAUACAUGAAACUUAGCAAAGUUACUGAAGUCUACUAAAGCUACUGAAUUAUAAGCUAACAUCGGCUAACGACCUCACACACGGGCUUUCUCUUUCCCGCUGUUUCUGUCAGUUAUUUAUAAUAAUACUGUAUUAAUACUUUCAUAUAAAACAGUAUUAUAGUUAUGUCUCAAUGUUUUAUUCGUGCACAAAGAGUGUGGGACUUACCCGGCGCCAUGUCUGAUUGCCAUGGAAACAGCUUGGGAGGAAGUGCCCCUUCUUUGGUGUGUGGUUCAACCCGGAGCGGGUUUUAAUGUACUGCCCCCUACAGGCUGCGUGUGGUACUACUACUGUUUUCUUUAUAUCACAUCCAUGAGGUAAUUUAAUAUAUACACACAAAACUGUUCACACCAGGGGUACAUAGACAACGUUUAAAAAAAAAUACAAGAGAAGAACAAAGUAAUACUAACAAGGUCAUACAAAUUCAAAUACUAUUAUGAAAUAAAUAACAAAUAAUUUGUUUUUAUUGCCUUCUCAUACCUAAAGUUUUCUUCUCACGGUGCCAUAUUGAUGCAGUUAUUAAGAAAGGUCCAAAACUUGGUUUAGAGUCAGUCCAUCUCUUCUUGGACUCUCUUCAAAAACAAAAUAUAUUUAUUUUCUAUGUCAUCACCUUCAAAACGUAUUAAAUGUUUUUUGAUUGAUUUGGUUAUUUAAGCGUGAUGAACCAAUUAGUGCCCAGUCCAUAUGGGCUUACAAUACAUUGAGGUCUAAAGCAGCCAUUAUAAUAAAUAAAGAAAUCAAAUAUAUGUAUUAUUAUUUAAUUGGGG